RNAcentral lists this ribosomal RNA (496 nucleotides) under uncultured bacterium. Its description in RNAcentral is "partial 16S ribosomal RNA". It matches the Rfam family "Bacterial small subunit ribosomal RNA", at positions 28 to 506 of the family's 1533-position model. The record is from RNAcentral.
GAUGAACGCUGGCGGCGUGCCUAAUACAUGCAAGUCGAGCGAACAGACGAGGAGCUUGCUCCUCUGACGUUAGCGGCGGACGGGUGAGUAACACAUGGAUAACCUACCUAUAAGACUGGGAUAACUUCGGGAAACCGGAGCUAAUACCGGAUAAUAUAUUGAACCGCAUGGUUCAAUAGUGAAAGACGGUUUUGCUGUCACUUAUAGAUGGAUCCGCGCCGCAUUAGCUAGUUGGUAAGGUAACGGCUUACCAAGGCAACGAUGCGUAGCCGACCUGAGAGGGUGAUCGGCCACACUGGAACUGAGACACGGUCCAGACUCCGACGGGAGGCAGCAGUAGGGAAUCUUCCGCAAUGGGCGAAAGCCUGACGGAGCAACGCCGCGUGAGUGAUGAAGGUCUUCGGAUCGUAAAACUCUGUUAUUAGGGAAGAACAAAUGUGUAAGUAACUAUGCACGUCUUGACGGUACCUAAUCAGAAAGCCACGGCUAACUACGU